RNAcentral lists this ribosomal RNA (321 nucleotides) under Ruegeria sp. RNAcentral's name for it is "bacterial SSU rRNA". It matches the Rfam family "Bacterial small subunit ribosomal RNA", at positions 98 to 436 of the family's 1533-position model. Lineage: Bacteria; Pseudomonadati; Pseudomonadota; Alphaproteobacteria; Rhodobacterales; Roseobacteraceae. The record is from RNAcentral.
GCGGACGGGUUAGUAACGCGUGGGAACGUACCCAGAUCUAAGGAAUAGCCACUGGAAACGGUGAGUAAUACCUUAUACGCCCUUCGGGGGAAAGAUUUAUCGGAUUUGGAUCGGCCCGCGUUAGAUUAGAUAGUUGGUGGGGUAACGGCCUACCAAGUCUACGAUCUAUAGCUGGUUUUAGAGGAUGAUCAGCAACACUGGGACUGAGACACGGCCCAGACUCCUACGGGAGGCAGCAGUGGGGAAUCUUGGACAAUGGGCGCAAGCCUGAUCCAGCCAUGCCGCGUGAGUGAUGAAGGCCUUAGGGUCGUAAAGCUCUUU